RNAcentral lists this non-coding RNA (23 nucleotides) under Xenopus laevis (African clawed frog). Its record names the gene xla-miR-148a-3p. The record is from miRBase by way of RNAcentral. RNAcentral also lists the same sequence under 3 other names. Lineage: Eukaryota; Metazoa; Chordata; Amphibia; Anura; Pipidae.
UCAGUGCACUACAGAACUUUGUU